AUAAGAAAAAGAAAGUGGAAGAGAAAGAGAAAGAUCUCUGAAUGAAAUGCAAGGCAAUGAGCUAUUAGCGUGUCAUAACAGAUUGAGGGUGACAAGGUGGUACAGUGAAAGAACGAGAAGUUGAAACAGCAGAGAUGCAGACAAAGAGAUGAUGGGAUGAAAAAAUGAACGAUAUAAUCAUCACAGGUUAUAACUUCGACAGUCGUGGUAACUGUGACCAAAUUUCCAGUUUGUCGACUGGAAUCUUUCAAAAUAAAUGCUGGCCCAAAGUACGUUCCAACAAGCGGAGAUGGGAGAAAAUGAUCAGCUAGUGAGCCCAUCAGAGUCUCAUGGCAGCAAACAUGAUUUGAUCGAGUACAAAAGGCUCAGCUUUCACUUUUACCAGGUCUUCUGAAAAGCAUAUUUUUACAUGCCUUGGAUUCUAUCACUUGGACUUUGAGGAAAGCCACCAUUUCCGAAGAAAUUAUUUUACGAAAAUCACACUGUCCCUUACCACCUCCUUGAUGCUGUCAUAUUUCAUCGCUUGAGGUUCAGCCCAGACUAGACAGUUAUUCAUGCUCCUGCACCGGACUUUCUUGACCUUUGUAAUGCUAAAUUUAGAAAUGUCAAAGAUGCAGAGCCGCCAUUUGAAUGUAUGUUGAUCACAAUUACGAAAUAUUUGUUGGACUAAAAAAUCAAAUGUUCUCUAGCAAUGAAGAAGAAGAAGUGACUUGAAACUUUACUUUAUAAUGGGAUGUGUUAGUCGGAUAUCUGUAAGAAAAUAAAUUGGCAGAUAAAUUGUUUUAAAGAAUAUAAGGGUGAUGCAAAUUAGUUGAUUUCUCAAUGUAUAUUAUAUUACACCUACAAUAUUGACAUAAUAUUUCAUCGUACAGACAGGACAAAAACAAAUACUUAAACGUAUCUUCUCUCACGCACUCUUUUUCCACUCACACCAUACAUAAUUCGAAAAUUUUUCAUAGAACUAUCAAAAUCGACAGCUCUAAACUAAUAGUAAACUAGAGUAACAUUAAUUAUUAAGUACGACAAAUACAAAAUAGUUCUUCAAUUAGAAUCAGAAAAAACUCGGAAGUCGAUUGGACGCAAUAUGUAAAAUAAGAAAUAAAAUAUUUGUAUAUUGUACAAUUCAAUCUAUAUCCGUACGACGUCAAUGUAACCGAUUCGUUAUCAAUAAUAAUAAUAAUAAUAAAAAAAUGUCGCUGUA
Molecule: long non-coding RNA, 1201 nt
Organism: Athalia rosae (coleseed sawfly)
Lineage: Eukaryota; Metazoa; Arthropoda; Insecta; Hymenoptera; Athaliidae
Exons: 2
Source: RefSeq, a predicted model, not a curated record